RNAcentral lists this unclassified non-coding RNA (220 nucleotides) under Fusarium sp. RNAcentral's name for it is "partial internal transcribed spacer region". The stretch from base 1 to 46 matches the Rfam family "Eukaryotic small subunit ribosomal RNA", at positions 1786 to 1831 of the family's 1831-position model. Lineage: Eukaryota; Fungi; Ascomycota; Sordariomycetes; Hypocreales; Nectriaceae. The record is from RNAcentral.
AAGUCGUAACAAGGUCUCCGUUGGUGAACCAGCGGGGGGAUCAUUACCGAGUUUACAACUCCCAAACCCCUGUGAACAUACCACUUGUUGCCUCGGCGGAUCAGCCCGCUCCCGGUAAAACGGGACGGCCCGCCAGAGGACCCAAAACCCUGAAUUAUUAGUGUCGUCUGAGUAAAAUAUUUAAUAUUUAAAACUUUCAACAACGGAUCUAUUGGCUCUG